UACAGUCCCACGAUGGAGGACAAAAUGUGGCAGUGGUUCUGUUGCCGUUAUGACAAAUAGAGUGUCCUUGCUCUACGAAAAAGGUUGAAAAUUUUCAAGG
Molecule: long non-coding RNA, 100 nt
Organism: Corapipo altera (White-ruffed manakin)
Lineage: Eukaryota; Metazoa; Chordata; Aves; Passeriformes; Pipridae
Exons: 3
Source: RefSeq, a predicted model, not a curated record